AUUGAACGCUGGCGGCAUGCCUAACACAUGCAAGUCGAACGGGGUGUAGCAAUACACCUAGUGGCGGACGGGUGAGGGAUACAUAGGAAUCUGCCUCAGAGUGGGGAGUAACCCGGGGAAACCCGGACUAAUACCGCAUGAUCUCGCAAGAGCAAAGCAGGGGACCGCAAGGCCUUGUGCUCUGAGAGGAGCCUAUGUCUGAUUAGCUAGUUGGCGGGGUAAUGGCCCACCAAGGCAACGAUCAGUAACUGGUCUGAGAGGACGAUCAGUCACACCGGAACUGAGACACGGUCCGGACUCCUACGGGAGGCAGCAGUGGGGAAUAUUGGACAUGGCGAAGCCUGAUCCAGCAAUGCCGCGUGUGUGAAGAAGGCCUCGGGUUGUAAAGCACUUUAGUCAGGGAAGAAAAUGCUCAAGCUAAUAUCUUGAGUGUUGACGGUACCUGAAGAAUAAGCACCGGCUAACUCUGUGCCAGCAGCCGCGGUAAUACAGAGGGUGCGAGCGUUAAUCGGAUUUACUGGGCGUAAAGCGUGUGUAGGUGGCUGUUCAAGUCGGUUGUGAAAUCCCGGCGUCACAUGGGAAUUGCUUCCGAGACUGAGCGGCUAGAGUACGGUAGAGGGCGGUGGAAUUUCCCGGUGUAGCGGUGAAAUGCGUAGAUAUCGGAAGGAACACCAAUGGCGAAGGC
RNAcentral lists this ribosomal RNA (685 nucleotides) under uncultured bacterium. RNAcentral describes it as "bacterial SSU rRNA". It matches the Rfam family "Bacterial small subunit ribosomal RNA", at positions 28 to 722 of the family's 1533-position model. The record is from RNAcentral.